RNAcentral lists this unclassified non-coding RNA (387 nucleotides) under fungal sp. RNAcentral's name for it is "partial internal transcribed spacer region". The stretch from base 1 to 46 matches the Rfam family "Eukaryotic small subunit ribosomal RNA", at positions 1786 to 1831 of the family's 1831-position model. Lineage: Eukaryota; Fungi. The record is from RNAcentral.
AAGUCGUAACAAGGUCUCCGUAGGUGAACCUGCGGAAGGAUCAUUAACACGUUAUCCAUACGUUAACCAAUGAGAAUCGUUUUCACCCUCCCUUCGCGUAGAAUGAGCGGAAUUGAUAGAGGCAUUGAAAGGGACUAUUUCGGUAGUCAGUUUCUAUCAACCAUUAUUGUAAAUUGAAAAAUUUACAGUGACGCUGAAUCUAUUGCGGAGAUUCGUCUCGGACAGUGCUCCCCUUUCAUUGAGCGCUCGAUGGGAUAACUUAUUAACUUAUUUCACCUUUUUGCUAGUUGACUUUUAUAUGUUGUUCUUUGCGCUUGCGUAAGGUUCACACGUUUAAUUAUUUGAACGUUAAAAAUACAACUCUUAGCAAUGGAUAUCUUGGUUCUC